UACGUAGGUGGCGAGCGUUAUCCGGAAUUACUGGGUGUAAAGGGUGAGUAGGCGGCAUGGUAAGCCAGAUGUGAAAGCCUUGGGCUUAACCCGAGGAUUGCAUUUGGAACUAUCAAGCUAGAGUACAGGAGAGGUAAGCGGAAUUCCUAGUGUAGCGGUAAAAUGCGUAGAUAUUAGGAGGAACACCAGUGGCGAAGGCGGCUUACUGGACAUUAACUGACGCUGAGGCACGAAAGCGUGGGGAGCAAACAGG
This 253-nucleotide ribosomal RNA is filed under the name uncultured Eubacteriales bacterium. RNAcentral's name for it is "uncultured Clostridiales bacterium partial 16S ribosomal RNA". It matches the Rfam family "Bacterial small subunit ribosomal RNA", at positions 524 to 776 of the family's 1533-position model. The record is from RNAcentral. Lineage: Bacteria; Bacillati; Bacillota; Clostridia; Eubacteriales.